RNAcentral lists this ribosomal RNA (380 nucleotides) under uncultured euryarchaeote. RNAcentral's name for it is "bacterial SSU rRNA". It matches the Rfam family "Archaeal small subunit ribosomal RNA", at positions 471 to 851 of the family's 1478-position model. The record is from RNAcentral. Lineage: Archaea; Methanobacteriati; Methanobacteriota.
UAAUACCAGCAGUCCAAGUCGCAAUCACGUUUAUUGGGUCUAAAACAUCCGUAGCUUGCUAUGUAAGUCUCUUGUGAAAUCCUAUAUCUUAAGUAUAGAACUGCAAGAGAUACUGCAAAGCUAGAGACCGGGAGAUGUAAAGAGUACGGUUAGGGUACCGGUAAAAUGGGUUGAUCCUUUCUGGACUAACAACAGCGAAGGCACUUUACAAGAACGGAUCUGACAGUCAGGGAUGAAGGCUAGGGGCGCAAAACGGAUUAGAUACCCGUGUAGUCCUAGCAGUAAACACUGCACACUAAACAUUGGGACCUCUUCGAGAGGUCUCAGUGCUGUAGGGAAGCCGUAGAGUGUGCUACCUGGGAAGUAUAGUCGCAAGGCCG